RNAcentral lists this ribosomal RNA (436 nucleotides) under uncultured bacterium. RNAcentral's name for it is "bacterial SSU rRNA". It matches the Rfam family "Bacterial small subunit ribosomal RNA", at positions 954 to 1392 of the family's 1533-position model. The record is from RNAcentral.
GCACAACGCGAAGAACCUUACCUAGACUUGACAUCCCCUGAAUUACCUGUAAUGAGGGAAGUCCCUUCGGGGACAGGGAGACAGGUGGUGCAUGGUUGUCGUCAGCUCGUGUCGUGAGAUGUUGGGUUAAGUCCCGCAACGAGCGCAACCCUUAUCAUUAGUUGCUACCAUUAAGUUGAGCACCCUAAUGAGACUGCCCGGGUUAACCGGGAGGAAGGUGGGGAUGACGUCAAAUCAUCAUGCCCCUUAUGUCUAGGGCCACACACGUGCUACAAUGGUGAGUACAACGAGAUGCGAACCCGCGAGGGGGAGCUAAACUUAAAAACUCAUCUCAGUUCGGAUUGCAGGCUGCAACUCGCCUGCAUGAAGCUGGAGUUGCUAGUAAUCGCGAAUCAGAAUGUCGCGGUGAAUACGUUCCCGGGUCUUGUACACACCG